Molecule: ribosomal RNA, 429 nt
Filed under: Chloroflexota bacterium
Lineage: Bacteria; Bacillati; Chloroflexota
Description: Chloroflexi bacterium partial 16S ribosomal RNA
Rfam family: Bacterial small subunit ribosomal RNA
Source: RNAcentral
UGGGGAAUAUUGCACAAUGGGCGCAAGCCUGAUGCAGCCAUGCCGCGUGUGUGAAGAAGGCCUUCGGGUUGUAAAGCACUUUCAGCGGGGAGGAAGGCGUUAAGGUUAAUAACCUUGGCGAUUGACGUUACCCGCAGAAGAAGCACCGGCUAACUCCGUGCCAGCAGCCGCGGUAAUACGGAGGGUGCAAGCGUUAAUCGGAAUUACUGGGCGUAAAGCGCACGCAGGCGGUCUGUCAAGUCGGAUGUGAAAUCCCCGGGCUCAACCUGGGAACUGCAUUCGAAACUGGCAGGCUAGAGUAGUGUAGAGGGGGGUAGAAUUCCAGGUGGAGCGGUGAAAUGCGUAGAGAUCUGGAGGAAUACCGGUGGCGAAGGCGGCCCCCUGGACAAAGACUGACGCUCAGGUGCGAAAGCGUGGGGAGCAAACAGG